RNAcentral lists this ribosomal RNA (429 nucleotides) under Chloroflexota bacterium. RNAcentral's name for it is "Chloroflexi bacterium partial 16S ribosomal RNA". It matches the Rfam family "Bacterial small subunit ribosomal RNA", at positions 355 to 776 of the family's 1533-position model. The record is from RNAcentral. Lineage: Bacteria; Bacillati; Chloroflexota.
UGGGGAAUAUUGCACAAUGGGCGCAAGCCUGAUGCAGCCAUGCCGCGUGUGUGAAGAAGGCCUUCGGGUUGUAAAGCACUUUCAGCGGGGAGGAAGGCGUUAAGGUUAAUAACCUUGGCGAUUGACGUUACCCGCAGAAGAAGCACCGGCUAACUCCGUGCCAGCAGCCGCGGUAAUACGGAGGGUGCAAGCGUUAAUCGGAAUUACUGGGCGUAAAGCGCACGCAGGCGGUUUGUUAAGUCAGAUGUGAAAUCCCCGGGCUCAACCUGGGAACUGCAUCUGAUACUGGCAAGCUUGAGUCUCGUAGAGGGGGGUAGAAUUCCAGGUGUAGCGGGGAAAUGCGUAGAGAUCUGGAGGAAUACCGGUGGCGAAGGCGGCCCCCUGGACGAAGACUGACGCUCAGGUGCGAAGGCGUGGGGAGCAAACAGG